GAUGAACGCUGGCGGCGUGCCUAAUACAUGCAAGUCGAGCGAACAGAUGAGGAGCUUGCUCCUCUGACGUUAGCGGCGGACGGGUGAGUAACACGUGGAUAACCUACCUAUAAGACUGGGAUAACUUCGGGAAACCGGAGCUAAUACCGGAUAAUAUAUUGAACCGCAUGGUUCAAUAGUGAAAGACGGUUUUGCUGUCACUUAUAGAUGGAUCCGCGCCGCAUUAGCUAGUUGGUAAGGUAACGGCUUACCAAGGCGACGAUGCGUAGUCGACCUGAGAGGGUGAUCGGCCACACUGGAACUGAGACACGGUCCAGACUCCUACGGGAGGCAGCAGUAGGGAAUCUUCCGCAAUGGGCGAAAGCCUGACGGAGCAACGCCGCGUGAGUGAUGAAGGUCUUCGGAUCGUAAAACUCUGUUAUUAGGGAAGAACAAAUGUGUAAGUAACUAUGCACGUCUUGACGGUACCUAAUCAGAAAGCCACGGCUAACUACGUG
This 497-nucleotide ribosomal RNA is filed under the name uncultured bacterium. RNAcentral's name for it is "partial 16S ribosomal RNA". It matches the Rfam family "Bacterial small subunit ribosomal RNA", at positions 28 to 507 of the family's 1533-position model. The record is from RNAcentral.